Molecule: ribosomal RNA, 366 nt
Filed under: Triticum aestivum (bread wheat)
Lineage: Eukaryota; Viridiplantae; Streptophyta; Magnoliopsida; Poales; Poaceae
Description: partial small subunit ribosomal RNA
Source: RNAcentral
AUGGGCAGCACCGGAGCCAGCCUCGUCCGGGCCCUGCUGUUCGCGUCGCUCUUCGCCGGGUUCGCGGCGGACCUCGCCGCGGGGGAGAAGGACUGCUACGACGAGAGGGACAGCGUCAUCCGCAUGUGCAAGUGGACCAUCAAGAAGGGGAGCCCCUACGUGAUCCCUGACAUGCCCUGCCGCCUCGAGGUGAGGAAGGUGGACAUGCCCUGCAUCUGCCGCGUCCUCACCGCCGCCGACGAGCGGAUCAUCAGCCCCGAGAAGCUCGUCCGCUGCUCCCGGGAAGCCGGCGUCGCCCUCCCCGUCGGGAGCAAAUGCGGGACCUACACCAUCCUGGCGCCAGCGCCACCAUGCGCGCAUGCGUGA